CCGCCCCCCUGCCCAUCUCCUCCUCUCUCAAUUCUUGCAGCCACCAAACCCUAGCCGCCGCCCCUCUCAAUCCCCUCCUCCCAAGGUGCCAAUCCUUGCCGCUCGGAUCAUCGUCGUCGUGGUGCGAGUCUUCAAUCGUUCUGGUGGAGGGAAGAAGGGAGGAAGGAAAGGGGGAGAAUCCAAGGUGAUUUUUGUGUUCAUCCCUUGUUCAUUUGCGCUGCAAUUUAAUUGAUUAGAGGUUGCGUUUGCGAUUGGGGUAGAGGGGGGCUGUCCAGAAUUUUAGGUGGUGGGUGAACAGCAGUAGUCUAGCAGUUUCUGUAUUUCUUUCGUGAGGAAUUAAGGGAAAUCAGUUUGGGGAUCAUGUAGAACUUUACCUUACCUUUCCAACGAGUAUUUAUGCGCUCAAUUUGGAGUUAUAAAUUGAAAGUUACCACCGUUUGAAUCCGGGUAUGUGGCUGUCCAAAAAAACAGAUUUUUCAGGGGAUGAACAGCAGCAGUAUUAGCAGUUUCUGGGAAUUUUUCGUGGGUAAUUAGUGUUAAUCAGUAUGAGAAUCAUGUAGGGCUUUAUGUUAUCUUUCCAACAAGUACUUAUGCGCUUGAUUCGGAGUUAUAAUUCAGGAGAUAUCGUUGUUUGAAUCCGGUUAUGUUGCUGUCCAAAAAAACAGAUUUUUCAGGUGGGUGAACAGCAGUGGUAUUAGCAGUUUCUGGGUAUUUUUCAUGGGUAAUUAGUGUUAAUCAGUAUGAGAAUCAUGUAGGGCUUUAUGUUAUCUUUCGAACAAGUACUUAUGCGCUCGAUUCGGAGUUAUAAUUCAGGAGAUAUCGUUGUUUGAAUCCGGUUAUGUUGCUGUCCAAAAAAAACAGAUUUUUCAGGUGGGUGAACAGCAGUGGUAUUAGCAGUUUCUGGAAAUUUUUCGUGGGUAAUUAGUGUUAACCAGUAUGGUAAUCAUGUAGGGAUUUGUCUUAUCUUUCCAAUGAGUACUUAUGCGCUUGAUUUGGAAUUAUAUUUUAAAAGAUAUCGCUGUUUGAAUCUGGGUAUGUCGCUGUCCAAAAGACAAAGAAAAACAGAUUACAGGGUUCAUCUUGUGGACUGUUUUGGGCUAAUUAGAUAUUGGAAUUUAAUUAUAAAUUGUAUACAAAACUUGUGGGGAAUUUUAUGUAGAUGCCUCUGGAGUUUUUGUUUGUUACCACUGCUGUCAUACUUUUAAAGUUAUGAAAUUAUUAAGCAGCGCCGCUGCAGUUUGGUGGGUGUAGGGAGAGAUGUAACCCACGGUGGGGUUUGAGUUUGUGCGUAGGUGCGGCAUCGCUUAUGAGCCUGAUUAUGUGAAAUUGGUGUACUAAGUUGGGUGUCAAAAACAGGUGGUGGACUUCCGGAUCGUACUUAGGAAUUUGCCCGAACUUCCGGUAAAG
This 1407-nucleotide long non-coding RNA is filed under the name Zea mays. RNAcentral describes it as "long non-coding RNA (ZMAY_LNC001857)". Lineage: Eukaryota; Viridiplantae; Streptophyta; Magnoliopsida; Poales; Poaceae. The record is from RNAcentral.